Molecule: non-coding RNA, 667 nt
Organism: Danio rerio (zebrafish)
Lineage: Eukaryota; Metazoa; Chordata; Actinopteri; Cypriniformes; Danionidae
Source: RefSeq, a predicted model, not a curated record
GUUCAUUGCGAUCCCAAGGUUCACUGCGGUUUUCCACAAGCCUGUUUCUGCCUAUCACCAUGAGUGAUUCCUUGAUACUCAUAUUUAUCAUCAAGAUCUCAAUUAUAAGCUCAAGUCUUGAUGACAACUUGAUGAUCUGCAGGAAGCACCACCAUGUAUAGAGGGCAAAGACCACUCUGGAAUCAGUCAAGGCUCAUAGGAACUCCAAUCUUCCCAACUGUGAGAGGGCCUUGCUCCAGUGACUGAUUGCAGUGACCAGACAUGCUACUGUAACUCUCAUGGUCAUGUGCUGGAAUUAGCAGAUAUUCAACAGUUUGGCCAUCUCGCUGACCUAUUGAUAUCAGAAGACCGCAACAGCUCUGCAAAGCAAGUUGGAAAACAGAAUCCAUGAAACUGGCAGUGACCGGAAACCAGUUGGAAGACUUUGGUCUGUGAUGUAGAGGAGUGGGCAGAGGUAGAAGCAAAGACAACAAAAAACAGAAGUGAUGUGGAUGUCUUCAUCAUAUGGCAUGACUCUGCUGACCCAGCAACAAAGAGGAGGGUGUUCAACAUCAUCCUGCUAGUCAGGAUUCUUCAGGAGAAGCAGAGGAUUCUUGUGGCAGAGAUGGCCAACCACUAUAAAUACCUUUCAACUCAUCCUGGUUCCUUCAAAGAACUUUCCUGCUUG